AUCCCUGGAGGGUGGACGGAGAGUCCCCGGCCGCGCGCCGGAGAAUUGCGCGGUGGCUUUCUCAGCCGAAACCCGCGUCUCCGGGGCUGUCACUGUAAGGCCAGCGUCUAGGUGCUGAUCCUGAGAGCCCUCCGCAGUGAACACCCUGCAUGCAGAUCUCCUUCUUGGAACCUGUUCCUGGAAAACCCAGUCUCCAGCAACCUGAUAUGUAACUGCAAAUCUGCAACUCUAGACCAACCUUCUAAAGAGGGAUUUAAGACCUUUUUCAAGAAUCUGGCUUGAUUUUUUGGCCCAUGGUUCUCCCUUUAUUUUACUCAAUGUUCUCAAAACUAAAAUGGCUCUUUAAUUUGAUUUUCGUAAAAUGGAAAUUUGGUAGAUCAUAUUUUAUUUACUAUGUUGUUAAAAUGC
This 408-nucleotide long non-coding RNA is filed under the name Homo sapiens (human). RNAcentral's name for it is "HSALNT0269197". Lineage: Eukaryota; Metazoa; Chordata; Mammalia; Primates; Hominidae. The record is from RNAcentral.